This 438-nucleotide ribosomal RNA is filed under the name uncultured Fusobacteriota bacterium. RNAcentral's name for it is "bacterial SSU rRNA". It matches the Rfam family "Bacterial small subunit ribosomal RNA", at positions 95 to 542 of the family's 1533-position model. Lineage: Bacteria; Fusobacteriati; Fusobacteriota. The record is from RNAcentral.
GUGGCGGACGGGUGAGUAACGCGUAAAGAACUUGCCUUACAGACUGGGACAACAUUUGGAAACGAAUGCUAAUACCGCGAUAUUAUGAUUGGGUCGCAUGAUCUGAUUAUGAAAGCUAUAUGCGCUGUGAGAGAGCUUUGCCUCCCAUUAGUUAGUUGGUGAGGUAACGGCUCACCAAGACGAUGAUGGGUAGCCGGCCUGAGAGGGUGAACGGCCACAAGGGGACUGAGACACGGCCCUUACUCCUACGGGAGGCAGCAGUGGGGAAUAUUGGACAAAGGACCAAAAGUCUGAUCCAGCAAUUCUGUGUGCACGAAGAAGUUUUUCGGCAAUGUAAACGUGCUUUCACGUUGGGAAGAAGUCCGUGACGGUACCAACAGAAGAAGCGACGGCUAAGUACGUGCCAGCAGCCGCGGUAAUACGUAUGUCGCAAGCGUU